CCUUUUACGCGGAGAUGAGGAAGCAGGAUGAAAGAACAUGGGUUUGCUGUGACAUUUGUCGGCGGAGGUACCACCACCAAUGUAUACAAAGGCCUCCAGUGGAUCAACAGUACUUGUGACCUGGAUG
Long non-coding RNA from Notothenia coriiceps (black rockcod), 127 nucleotides. RefSeq lists it as uncharacterized. Lineage: Eukaryota; Metazoa; Chordata; Actinopteri; Perciformes; Nototheniidae. The transcript has 2 exons. The record is from RefSeq and is a predicted model, not a curated record.